GAUGAACGCUGGCGGCGUGCCUAACACAUGCAAGUCGAGCGAGGGUUUGCUCAGUAUUGAGUAUUCUAACAACUAGAAUGUUCAAUUCUGAGCAAAACCAAGCGGCGGACGGGUGAGUAACGCGUGGGUAACCUGCCCUAUACACAUGGAUAACAUACUGAAAAGUUUACUAAUACAUGAUAAUAUAUAUUUGCGGCAUCGCAGAUAUAUCAAAGUGUUAGCGGUAUAGGAUGGACCCGCGUCUGAUUAGCUAGUUGGUGAGAUAACUGCCCACCAAGGCGACGAUCAGUAGCCGACCUGAGAGGGUGAUCGGCCACAUUGGAACUGAGACACGGUCCAAACUCCUACGGGAGGCAGCAGUGGGGAAUAUUGCACAAUGGGCGAAAGCCUGAUGCAGCAACGCCGCGUGAACGAUGAAGGUCUUCGGAUCGUAAAGUUCUGUUGCAGGGGAAGAUAAUGACGGUACCCUGUGAGGAAGCCCCGGCUAACUACGUGCCAGCAGCCGCGGUAAUACGUAGGGGGCUAGCGUUAUCCGGAUUUACUGGGCGUAAAGGGUGCGUAGGUGGUCCUUCAAGUCGGUGGUUAAAGGCUACGGCUCAACCGUAGUAAGCCGCCGAAACUGGAGGACUUGAGUGCAGGAGAGGAAAGUGGAAUUCCCAGUGNNGCGGUGAAAUGCGUAGAUAUUGGGAGGAACACCAGUAGCGAAGGCGGCUUUCUGGACUGCAACUGACACUGAGGCACGAAAGCGUGGGUAGCAAACAGG
This 763-nucleotide ribosomal RNA is filed under the name uncultured Peptostreptococcus sp. RNAcentral's name for it is "bacterial SSU rRNA". It matches the Rfam family "Bacterial small subunit ribosomal RNA", at positions 28 to 776 of the family's 1533-position model. Lineage: Bacteria; Bacillati; Bacillota; Clostridia; Peptostreptococcales; Peptostreptococcaceae. The record is from RNAcentral.